UGGGGAAUAUUGCGCAAUGGGGGGAACCCUGACGCAGCCAUGCCGCGUGAAUGAAGAAGGCCUUCGGGUUGUAAAGUUCUUUCGGUAUUGAGGAAGGUUGAUGUGAUAAUAGCACAUCAAAUUGACGUUAAAUACAGAAGAAGCACCGGCUAACUCCGUGCCAGCAGCCGCGGUAAUACGGAGGGUGCGAGCGUUAAUCGGAAUAACUGGGCGUAAAGGGCACGCAGGCGGUUAUUUAAGUGAGGUGUGAAAGCCCUGGGCUUAACCUAGGAAUUGCAUUUCAGACUGGGUAACUAGAGUACUUUAGGGAGGGGUAGAAUUUCACGUGUAGCGGUGAAAUGCGUAGAGAUGUGGAGGAAUACCGAAGGCGAAGGCAGCCCCUUGGGAAUGUACUGACGCUCAUGUGCGAAAGCGUGGGGAGCAAACAGGAUUAGAUACCCUGGUAGUCCACGCUGUAAACGCUGUCGAUUUGGGGGUUGGGGUUUAACUUUGGCGCCCGUAGCUAACGUGAUAAAUCGACCGCCUGGGGAGUACGGCCGCAAGGUUA
Molecule: ribosomal RNA, 547 nt
Filed under: uncultured bacterium
Lineage: Bacteria
Description: bacterial SSU rRNA
Rfam family: Bacterial small subunit ribosomal RNA
Source: RNAcentral